AUUGAACGCUGGCGGCAGGCCUAACACGUGCAAGUCGAGCGGAUGAAGGAAGCUCGCUCCUGGAUUCAGCGGCGGACGGGUGAGUAAUGCCUAGGAAUCUGCCUGGUAGUGGGGGAUAACGUCCGGAAACGGGCGCUAAUACCGCAUACGUCCUGAGGGAGAAAGUGGGGGAUCUUCGGACCUCACGCUAUCAGAUGAGCCUAGGUCGGAUUAGCUAGUUGGUGGGGUAAAGGCCUACCAAGGCGACGAUCCGUAACUGGUCUGAGAGGAUGAUCAGUCACACUGGAACUGAGACACGGUCCAGACUCCUACGGGAGGCAGCAGUGGGGAAUAUUGGACAAUGGGCGAAAGCCUGAUCCAGCCAUGCCGCGUGUGUGAAGAAGGUCUUCGGAUUGUAAAGCACUUUAAGUUGGGAGGAAGGGCAGUAAGUUAAUACCUUGCUGUUUUGACGUUACCAACAGAAUAAGCACCGGCUAACUUCGUG
This 484-nucleotide ribosomal RNA is filed under the name uncultured bacterium. Its description in RNAcentral is "partial 16S ribosomal RNA". It matches the Rfam family "Bacterial small subunit ribosomal RNA", at positions 30 to 507 of the family's 1533-position model. The record is from RNAcentral.